GAGACCAAGAACAGGCACCACCGCACGCCGCCCUCUUCCGCCCACCAGAAAUCGCCUCACGGCAGUUCCGGUGGCCCAAACAACCCCAAAUUAACACCCUUGAUUCUCCUUCACCUCAUCAUCUCAAAUCCCCAAACCAUUGCCUUCGAAUCUUAGCCAAAUCCCUCGAAUUUCAGAUCGAAGAUCGGACCCAAACCCUAGUUUACCCAAUCAACCCCAAACUAACACCAUAUGACCACCUUGACCCCCUCUUUACAAAUCCCAGAAUGGUUUCCUUCGAAUCUUACCAAAACUGCUCGAAUAUUGAAUCUAAGAAUGAGCCCUAGAGGUUCAAAAUUUGAUUUUUUCGCGAACCAAUGAUAUAUGUUGGUCCAGGCCCUUAGCGUUCCAUGAUUCGAAGAUUGAUUCCUCACAAAAACUGAUACUGCUCACUUGUUCUUUACAAGAACAAGCGAUUAUUAUCAGUUUCGUGUGAAUCAUGAUGGCAAACGAUGUUUUCAGAGUCUAAUCGGUGAAUUCCCUUUACUAUUUUUGCUCAUCUUCAAACUCGCUUUACCUCUUCCUCAUCUUCUUUUCUUCUACAUGUUUUAAUUGAUCCAUUCUCUGAUUGAAGUUACGAUUAGCUUCAGAUUCAAUUUCUUUGACUUAGGUGAUGUUCGUCUAUUCGUAGUUCCCUUAAUUUUAGUCCCCGAUUCAAUGUAGUUGUUUCUGUUUGUGUCUUUUGAUUUUAGGUCUAUUAAUUAUCUUCUGUAUUCAAUUGAUAAUAUUUGCAUUUACCAUUUGAUCCUGAUUGCCCAAGUGAUUUCAUUUUUGAGUCUGUAAAUGUUCAGAAUUUCAAACUGAUUGAAUUAGAACUGUAGGGGUCUUAAUCCAGGGGGUCUGCUAACAAAGGGUAGUGGUGCACUACUGAAUUAAUAAAAGAAAAAAGUACUAAGUAGUGGAAUGAAUUAAAAAAUAAAAAGGGGACUGGUAAUGGCUAGCUUAAUGCCCUUUAGGAGCUGGAAAUCAGAGAACAUGGGGGAUAUAAUUAAAAGGCUAAAAUAUACAGGUGUAAAAGGGUACACAGUCUGGAAAGGAAGAGGAACAGAAUUAAGAAAGGACUGAAUACACCUUAAGAGGGGGACACUCACUGAUAUAUAAAGGGGGAGAAGCUAGACAGUAAGAGAGGAGAAGAGAGUUGGAGAGCUUAGGAGAUUGAAAGGAGAACAUUCUGGGAGGAUAGAGAGAACACAGACAGAUACAGACCUUAAGGGAAAAGAGAGGGAACAGGAGGGGAGAAAAAAAAUACUAACAACUAAAGGGGACUAUUUCAUUGAACUCUUUCUGGAUUUCUUCAGUUUUCUAAUUCGGGAAACAGUUUUCUGAUCUAUUUGGGUUGAAAGGAUUUGAGUUUGGUGUUUUAAAAGCUUGGUUUGAAGUUUGGUCGAGCUUGGUUGAUUGUUGCACCUCAUUGCUUGGUUUAAAGCUAGUUUUCUUGGUUGUCUCUGUUGCUGAUCACUGCGCUUGCUACUGUCUUGCUGCUGUUGUUUUCUUCUUAAACUGCAAGCUCAUUUGUCCUUAUUUUGAUUGCUGUAAUCAGGUACAUAUCCUUGGACUAUACUAGACGUGAAGUAAAAAUUUGGAGCAUGAAAUGAAAAAUGGAGUUCAAAGUAUAGCAUCAACUUAUCUGUCUAUAAUUCAAUCUUCUACAUUGUAUUAUGUCUCAUUUCCAGAUUCACUGAAU
RNAcentral lists this long non-coding RNA (1723 nucleotides) under Nicotiana tabacum (common tobacco). RNAcentral describes it as "long non-coding RNA (NTAB_LNC005334)". Lineage: Eukaryota; Viridiplantae; Streptophyta; Magnoliopsida; Solanales; Solanaceae. The record is from RNAcentral.